UCACCUGGGAGCGCCCAAAAUAAAGAGUAGGAACGCACGGAACCUUCCCCCCGAUGGACGCCCCCGGUCUCACCUCAACCUCAGCAUCCUCCUCCUCCUCUCCCUCAUCCGAGGAUACAGCAUGAACCUCGGUUUCUCCUGUACCUUUCGAGGCUUCGCCUAUCUCACCUUCACCUUCGCCCCUAUCAGAUGACCAAUCAGGCGAACUGCUCCCCGAAGAUCCCUCUUCAGCAGAAACAAAACCAUCCUUCGUAUAGAUUCGCUUCUUUGACCUCUUCCUCCC
This 283-nucleotide long non-coding RNA is filed under the name Setaria viridis. Its description in RNAcentral is "long non-coding RNA (SVIR_LNC003276)". The record is from RNAcentral. Lineage: Eukaryota; Viridiplantae; Streptophyta; Magnoliopsida; Poales; Poaceae.